This 253-nucleotide ribosomal RNA is filed under the name uncultured bacterium. Its description in RNAcentral is "partial 16S ribosomal RNA". It matches the Rfam family "Bacterial small subunit ribosomal RNA", at positions 524 to 776 of the family's 1533-position model. The record is from RNAcentral.
UACAGAGGGGGCAAGCGUUGUUCGGAAUUACUGGGCGUAAAGGGCGCGUAGGCGGCCUUCUAAGUCGAACGUGAAAUCCCCGGGCUCAACCCGGGAACUGCGUCCGAGACUGGAAGGCUUGAAUCCGGGAGAGGGAUGUGGAAUUCCAGGUGUAGCGGUGAAAUGCGUAGAUAUCUGGAGGAACAUCGGUGGCGAAGGCGGCAUCCUGGACCGGUAUUGACGCUGAGGCGCGAAAGCCAGGGGAGCAAACAGG